This 892-nucleotide ribosomal RNA is filed under the name uncultured bacterium. RNAcentral describes it as "bacterial SSU rRNA". It matches the Rfam family "Bacterial small subunit ribosomal RNA", at positions 21 to 892 of the family's 1533-position model. The record is from RNAcentral.
GGCUCAGACGAAACGCUGGCGGCGUGCCUAACACAUGCAAGUCGAACGUGAUCUACCUUUCGGGGUAGUGAAAGUGGCGCACGGGUGAGUAACGCGUAGAUAAUCUGCCCAAUGCUCUGGGAUAACAUCUCGAAAGGGGUGCUAAUACCGGAUAAGCUCACGGGGUCUUCGGACUCUGCGGGAAAAGAGGGGGACCUUCGGGCCUCUUGACAUCGGAUGAGUCUACGUACCAUUAGCUAGUUGGUAGGGUAAAGGCCUACCAAGGCGACGAUGGUUAGCUGGUCUGAGAGGAUGAUCAGCCACACUGGAACUGAGACACGGUCCAGACUCCUACGGGAGGCAGCAGUGGGGAAUUUUGCGCAAUGGGGGAAACCCUGACGCAGCAACGCCGCGUGAGUGAUGAAGGCCUUCGGGUCGUAAAGCUCUGUCAGAGGGAAAGAAAUGCGGGAUGCUAAUAUCAUUUCCGCUUGACGGUACCCUCAAAGGAAGCACCGGCUAACUCCGUGCCAGCAGCCGCGGUAAUACGGAGGGUGCGAGCGUUGUUCGGAAUUAUUGGGCGUAAAGCGCGUGUAGGCGGUUUUGUAAGUCUGAUGUGAAAGCCCCGGGCUCAACCUGGGAAGUGCAUUGGAUACUGCAAGACUUGAGUACGGGAGAGGGCAGUGGAAUUCCUAGUGUAGGAGUGAAAUCCGUAGAUAUUAGGAGGAACACCGGUGGCGAAGGCGGCUGCCUGGACCGAUACUGACGCUGAGACGCGAAAGCGUGGGGAGCAAACAGGAUUAGAUACCCUGGUAGUCCACGCCGUAAACGAUGAGUACUAGGUGUUGCGGGUAUUGACCCCUGCAGUGCCGCAGCUAACGCAUUAAGUACUCCGCCUGGGAAGUACGGUCGCAAG